ACUUCAGUUUCAACUCUCAAAGAAAUUACUAGUCACAGAUGAUUCCCCAGGAAGUAGAAAGAGAGUAAUUUGGCAGCUGAGAUUUGGAAACAGCAUAAUGAUGUCAUGUCUUUCGACUCUCAAAGUGCCAUCACCAAUGCUGAACCAAAACAAGUGGCUUCUAAAGAGUCAUCGAAAAAUACUUUCCACUGAACCCAGUGAUCAAGUUGCUCAUCAUCCUGGACCUUCUUCAGAUUCUACAAUAUAUCUGCUUUGCUUAAUCAUUGGUCACUUUUGAAGGGUGUAGUAGAACUGGAGAAUGAUCAGAACAGUAACUACUUUCAAACUUUACACAAGGCAUCAUAGUUAGCAUAGACUCAGAUAUCAGGAAAAAGUCAAGUCUAGCUUGUUUGAGUGGAUUUUUUCGUCUCCAGCACCCCAAAGAAGAGCUACGUGUGAGCUUGUGACUGCAACAUUUCUCGCUUGGAGCCACGGCCUGUUCCGCCCACUGUCUGUAUCUCGGACACAUGUGUGGUUAUUGCGACAGCCACAAAGUCGCUAUAAUAAUCAGAAGUUAG
This is a long non-coding RNA of Saccostrea echinata, 557 nucleotides long. RefSeq lists it as uncharacterized. The transcript is spliced from 3 exons. Lineage: Eukaryota; Metazoa; Mollusca; Bivalvia; Ostreida; Ostreidae. The record is from RefSeq and is a predicted model, not a curated record.